RNAcentral lists this long non-coding RNA (602 nucleotides) under Ficedula albicollis (Collared flycatcher). RNAcentral describes it as "lncRNA (ENSFALG00000026860.1)". Lineage: Eukaryota; Metazoa; Chordata; Aves; Passeriformes; Muscicapidae. The record is from RNAcentral.
GGGGGGGGGGGGGGGGGGGGGGGGGGGGGGGGGGGGGGGGGGGGGGGGGGGGGGGGGGGGGGGGGGGGGUCCUCUCCUCUCCUCCAUCACAAUAAAGUCCAAAUCCCAGGAUCAGCUCUGACCAGAAACGCAGCGUCCUUGGGCUGUGAAAAACUUCUGCAGAAACAGCGAGUUCAGCUCGCUGGCUGCUGAGUUUUGUCUGAACACGGAGGCUGAAUACCAGCAGAAUAGUUUGUUUUAUUUCCAGCUUGCCUGAAACCAGAGAUUCCUGGGAGGUUUCCAAGCCAGUCGCUGAACCCAACUGGAUUUUGAUUGCUCUGUCGCCUGUCAACCUGAAAUUCUGGAGCUGCUCUGUCCCUGCAGGACUUUGGGUGUCCCAGCUCCCUCUCCCGGCAUCCCAGUGACCUUUUCACAAUCUCUGUGCCAGGCUGGGCUCCAGGCAGUGAGUGGCUGGAAAUCCUGCCCAGGGCACCGAGCAGGAGUUCCUGGGAUCUGGGGAGCUGGGCCAGGGCUCUCCAUCUGCUCCAGCCCCGCUGCCAAGUUCAACUUCUGCGCUGCAGAUCGCACAAAGGGGAGAAAAGAAAAGGAAAAAAAAAAAAAUA